RNAcentral lists this ribosomal RNA (452 nucleotides) under uncultured bacterium. RNAcentral describes it as "bacterial SSU rRNA". It matches the Rfam family "Bacterial small subunit ribosomal RNA", at positions 29 to 526 of the family's 1533-position model. The record is from RNAcentral.
AACGAACGCUGGCGGCAGGCCUAACACAUGCAAGUCGAACGCACUCUUCGGAGUGAGUGGCAGACGGGUGAGUAACGCGUGGGAACCUUCCCAGUGGUGCGGAAUAGCCCAGGGAAACUUGGGGUAAUACCGCAUACGCCCUUCGGGGGAAAGAUUUAUCGCCAUUGGAUGGGCCCGCGUCGGAUUAGCUAGUUGGUGAGGUAAUGGCUCACCAAGGCAACGAUCCGUAGCUGGUUUGAGAGAAUGACCAGCCACACUGGGACUGAGACACGGCCCAGACUCCUACGGGAGGCAGCAGUGGGGAAUCUUGGACAAUGGGCGCAAGCCUGAUCCAGCCAUGCCGCGUGAGUGACGAAGGCCUUAGGGUUGUAAAGCUCUUUUGGCGGGGACGAUAAUGACGGUACCCGCAGAAUAAGUCCCGGCUAACUUCGUGCCAGCAGCCGCCGUAACAC